CUGCUGUUGUGCCUGGUAAUAUUGCUGCUGCUCUGCCAUCAUAGCUAACUGCACAUUUGACGGUGGCGCGAAGCUGUUUGACAUGGCAAAUGGAUCGUUGGAGUCAAACGGGUUUGCUGCAAGACUUCCUGUUGCAUGGAUAUCAUAAACACUGAACCUGGUGCCACAAUAGCAAGAGCCAGUGCAUUGCUUGCUUCAAGGUCUGCGAUCAUGGGGUUUACCUCUUCAUCCAAGUUCUGCAAGUAAUAUAGUAGCAAGAACAUGAGGCUCAGAAACUGAUACUCAGCUGAACAGUAGAUUGUUCAAGGGACAUGGAGUAAAUACUAAUAGGUCCCCAGUGAUCGUUGGUGGUUGAGGUUCCACUGCUUCUUCUGCAGGUUCAGCAGCGAGUUGCGGUUCUUCUUCAGGCUCUGCAGGUUCUGGCAUUUUGCAGUGUUCCUAAUACUGAAAGCACUCACCAAACUCUUACUCUCAAUGUUGGCUCGGGGUGCUUCUCUGAUGUACUCUUCCAUAGUCACAAGAAAUGAAGGAGGCGGCUGCAUACCAGUAAGUAGUAGCACUGUCACUAUCAGUAAAUGACUAAUAGUACAAUCUAGUGUGCAGAGGGCACACGUUUUAUAUCAUUGCCAAAUGAUAUUUAAAUGACAAGCAUUUUUUACACUUGACUGGUACAGUCAGCGAUGUAAAUACUACUAUCUUCCCUUAAAUUAUGGAGAUUUAUCUGUUAAAAUCAGUAAUUAAUGACUGAUGGAACAUACCUGCCUCAGAGUAGGAAAUUGGAAAGUCCUGGCCAGAUCAAGAUGUUUGCACUGGUCGUAGAAAUUAGAAAGCUUUUCUGCCUGUGAAAUUGAUGAAUCCACACCAUGACAAUAUUAGAAACAGCUAGUUCAUCCAAAUAUGCUAGAUGGUACUCUGCAUAGUUUCUAUACCUGCUGGCCAGCUCGUUUAUAGAUUUCAAGAGCCUUGAUCGCAUCAUAUUUUGGCAUAUCAAAAUACUGCAUCACAUAAGAGAUACAAGUAUUCAGCUUAUGUUCAGACGACGGACAUAUAAAUACAUGGAAAAGGCAUCUCACCGUACCAUAUCAACAAGAUUGAUGAUGCCAUCAUUGAUUGAACAGUAUAUUUUGAAACUUUCCUUCAAAACCUAGGGCCCAUAAGACCUCUGUAAGACUUAAGACUAUAAGGAAAUGGACACUAUUCUUUACCAAAAAGCUGUCAGAACGAGUUUCAGACUCACAAGGGCUAGCGCAUACUGUACAAGGUAAUUUGCACAGGCUGCACCUUCAGGCUGCAAAGUGAUGAUGGAAAAUGAAAUGACAUGCCAAUAUCAGAGAGUUGCAUCCACUGGCUUGAUACAGUUUCUUAUUUUCAAGCUUAGUACUACUGUUCCUUAUUCUUCAAACCUGGCAGUAAAUAAGCCUGAGAAGCAGUUUCUGCAGUGCAGGCAACUGAUCCAAAAGAUCUGCGAGUGGAAGGGUUCUUGUUCUGCUGUGUGCCUGGAAUUCAUCAAGGUUCAGCACAGCGCUACUCAUGUGUCAAACAACUCAAAAUGAUGCCAAGCAAGACUGCAAGAUGUUGGUUCGAAGCAUGGAAAAGCUAACCUUGCCAGACGCCUGGGGUAAUUUCAGCAGACGAUCAGCUUCAACAUCAUACUUGAGAACCCUGAAGCACUCCACCCGUUCAUCUAGGUAGAGCGCGUACGUGCGAACCCAAGCAGAGCAAUCCCAAGCUGGAGGAAGGAGUGAGCAGAGAAUCUAUGUUCAGAUAUGAACCACUGGGAGGCCACAUUUUUUGGACUCCCCUAGAAAAAUGCAGAUUUGUUUAGACCAUGGACUUUCUGACAGUUUUACAAUCUACAUCCUUGAGCCAUAAAUUUGGCUCCUUCAGUAGCCAAGAGGCUGCAAUUAUGCAAUAUAUGGACAAGAUCCCUAUCCCUA
This is a long non-coding RNA of Panicum virgatum (switchgrass), 1937 nucleotides long. RefSeq lists it as uncharacterized. The transcript has 3 exons. The record is from RefSeq and is a predicted model, not a curated record. NCBI's taxonomy places the organism in Eukaryota, Viridiplantae, Streptophyta, Magnoliopsida, Poales, Poaceae.